Molecule: ribosomal RNA, 389 nt
Filed under: uncultured bacterium
Lineage: Bacteria
Description: bacterial SSU rRNA
Rfam family: Bacterial small subunit ribosomal RNA
Source: RNAcentral
ACGGGUGAGUAACACGUGGGUAACCUGGCCUCAUACACAUGGAUAACAUACCGAAAGGUAUGCUAAUACAAGAUGAUAUAAGAGAUUCGCAUGGAUUCUUAUCAAAGCUCCGGCGGUAUGAGAUGGACCCGCGUCUGAUUAGCUAGUUGGUAAGGUAAAUGGGCUUACCAAGGCGACGAUCAGUAGCCGACCUGAGAGGGUGAUCGGCCACAUUGGAACUGAGACACGGUCCAAACUCCUACGGGAGGCAGCAGUGGGGAAUAUUGCACAAUGGGCGAAAGCCUGAUGCAGCAACGCCGCGUGAGCGAUGAAGGCCUUCGGGUCGUAAAGCUCUGUCCUCAAGGAAGAUAAUGACGGUACUUGAGGAGGAAGCCCCGGCUAACUACGUG